UCCUUAGAUGUUCUGGGCCGCACGCGCGCUACACUGACGGAGGCAGCGAGCAUGUCCUUCGCCGAGAGGUGUGGGGAAUCUUGUGAGUCUCCGUCGUGCUGGGGAUAGAUGGUUGCAAUUGUCGAUCUUGAACGAGGAAUUCCUAGUAAGCGCGAGUCAUCAGCUCGCGCUGAUUACGUCCCUGCCCUUUGUACACACCGCCCGUCGCUACUACCGAUUGAAUCGUUUAGCGAGAAUUUUGGAUCGGAGCCCUGGUGGGCAGCGAUGUCCGCCUGGGAUUUACCGAGAAAUCAUUCCAGCUUGCCGAUUUAGAGGAAGUAAAAGUCGUAACA
RNAcentral lists this ribosomal RNA (332 nucleotides) under uncultured eukaryote. RNAcentral's name for it is "partial 18S ribosomal RNA". It matches the Rfam family "Eukaryotic small subunit ribosomal RNA", at positions 1470 to 1796 of the family's 1831-position model. The record is from RNAcentral.